RNAcentral lists this long non-coding RNA (241 nucleotides) under Ananas comosus (pineapple). RNAcentral's name for it is "long non-coding RNA (ACOM_LNC037702)". Lineage: Eukaryota; Viridiplantae; Streptophyta; Magnoliopsida; Poales; Bromeliaceae. The record is from RNAcentral.
AACCAUCACCGAGCGUGCACCACUGUACCGACGUCGGAUCGAAAUACCCACCUGUAAGGAUGUCGCGCCUGUCUCCUGACUGCGAAAGAAUGUCAACCGGACCUAAGAAGGGUCCACCAGGUUAGUAUCUAACCCAGAACUAAUAACCACAGUAUCCAUAACCCCACAAACUAAUCCCACGGAGAUCGGUUUACCAAUACCGAUUACUGUAACUCGCCGGAAGUCCCAAAAAUCGCACCGA